This 784-nucleotide ribosomal RNA is filed under the name uncultured marine bacterium. RNAcentral describes it as "bacterial SSU rRNA". It matches the Rfam family "Bacterial small subunit ribosomal RNA", at positions 56 to 834 of the family's 1533-position model. The record is from RNAcentral.
UGCAGUCGAGGGGUAACAGAGGUAGCUUGCUACUUGCUGACGACCGGCGCACGGGUGCGUAACGCGUAUAGAACCUACCUUCUACAGGGGAAUAGCCCAGAGAAAUUUGGAUUAAUGCCCCAUGGUAUUGAGAAGUGGCAUCACUAUUCAAUUAAACAUUUAUGGGUAAAAGAUGGCUAUGCGUUCUAUUAGUUAGUUGGUAAGGUAACGGCUUACCAAGACAUCGAUAGAUAGGGGUCCUGAGAGGGAGAUCCCCCACACUGGUACUGAGACACGGACCAGGCUCCUACGGGAGGCAGCAGUGAGGAAUAUUGGACAAUGGAGGCAACUCUGAUCCAGCCAUGCCGCGUGAAGGAUGACUGCCCUAUGGGUUGUAAACUUCUUUUAUAUAGGAAGAAACAGUUUCUUGCGAGAGACCUUGACGGUACUAUAUGAAUAAGCACCGGCUAACUCCGUGCCAGCAGCCGCGGUAAUACGGAGGGUGCAAGCGUUAUCCGGAAUCAUUGGGUUUAAAGGGUCCGUAGGCGGACUGAUAAGUCAGAGGUGAAAUCCCACAGCUCAACUGUGGAACUGCCUUUGAUACUGUCAGUCUUGAGUUACUUGGAAGUAGAUAGAAUGUGUAGUGUAGCGGUGAAAUGCAUAGAUAUUACACAGAAUACCGAUUGCGAAGGCAGUCUACUACGAGUAUACUGACGCUGAUGGACGAAAGCGUGGGGAGCGAACAGGAUUAGAUACCCUGGUAGUCCACGCCGUAAACGAUGGACACUAGUUGUUGGGAUUUAAU